UUCAAAUUUUCCUUUUCUAUACGCACGCAUAUAUAUUAUCUUCGUUGUUAAUUUUGUGCUUGUGGGUUAUGGCUCAAAGUCUUUUUUCUUUUGGAGGCAAUCGGGACGAGUCGUGAUGCCAAUUCCCAAUUUUUUUGAACUUAUAAUUUGGCUCCAUUUUUUUUCGGAAUUAAUGUGUGAGAACUGGAAUCUGGGUGUUUUUGCACUCACGUAACUAGAUCUGUGUUUAAUUUUAAAAAAAAUCCGUUAUUUUCCGUAGAUUGUUCUUACUGUUUGUGAUUUUUUUCUACAUGGGUUGAUUUAAAAAGUCCUCUUUUAGUUGUCAGUUGACUUGUUCUGUAAAUUUUUCCUAUUAAGCUUGAGUUAGCUUGUUAAAGCACUGAAAUUUUAGUAGUCGUAAACAUUAAAUUUUAAACAACAAAAAUGUUAGAACAGAAGUGGGAAAUAACCUGCUAAUCUUUAUUUAUCCUCUAGGCUUUAGGGUAUAUAAAUCAACCAAAACAUGCUAUGUGCAAUGUUGGUGUUAUUAUUGUGAUACAAAUGGUUUGUGGUUGAUAGAGGUUGUUUUCUGAUUAAAGUUAUGGGAGUUUCUAUGGUAACUUCUUUUUAACAAAGUAAAUUUUACUUUGUCAAUAACUACCAUUAGAUGAA
This 651-nucleotide unclassified non-coding RNA is filed under the name Hevea brasiliensis (rubber tree). The record is from RNAcentral. Lineage: Eukaryota; Viridiplantae; Streptophyta; Magnoliopsida; Malpighiales; Euphorbiaceae.